UCGAGAAUCAUUGUCAAUGCACGAAAGUGUGAACAUGCGACGCCGCGUGGAGGAAGACGGCCUUUGGGUUGUAAACUCCUGUCAGCAGGGAGUAAGGAUGGUAUAUUUAAUACAUCUACCAUUUGAUAGUACCUGCAGAGGAAGUCACGGCUAACUCUGUGCCAGCAGCCGCGGUAAUACAGAGGUGGCGAACGUUGUUCGGAUUUACUGGGCGUAAAGGGUCCGCAGGCGGUCCGGUGUGUCAGAUGUGAAAGCCCACAGCUUAACUGUGGAAUUGCAUUUGAAACUGCCGGACUAGAGUACUGGAGGGGAGAAGGGAACACUUGGUGUAGCGGUGAAAUGCGUAGAUAUCAAGUGGAACACCGGUGGCGAAGGCGCUUCUCUGGACAGAUACUGACGCUCAUGGACGAAAGUUAGGGUAGCGAAAG
Molecule: ribosomal RNA, 428 nt
Filed under: uncultured bacterium
Lineage: Bacteria
Description: bacterial SSU rRNA
Rfam family: Bacterial small subunit ribosomal RNA
Source: RNAcentral